ACAUCACCUCUAGCNUCNCCAGUAUUAGAGGCACCGCCUGCCCAGUGACACAUGUUUAACGGCCGCGGUACCCUANCCGUGCAAAGGUAGCAUAAUCNNUCGCCUGUUUAUCAAAAACAUUUUUAUUAGAAUUAAUUAAUAAUAAAACCUGNUCAAUGAAAUUUAAAUAGCCGCUUUUGUGCUAAGGUAGCAUAAUAAUUUGUCUNUUAAUUAAAGACUAGAACAAAAGGUUUAACAUCUCAAUUAAUNUCUUUAAAAAACUAUUAAAANUAUUUUAAUNGUAAAAAANCAAUUUUAAAAAAGAAAGACGAUAAGNCCCUAUCGAACUNUACUUCAGUUUAACUGGGGCAGUUAAUUAAUUAUUAUUUUAAAAUAAUUAAAUAUAUAAUUUGACCUAAUUUAUUAACAUAAUAANUAAGUUACCGUAGGGAUANCANCGUAAUAAAAUUGAUAAGAUAUUAUNUAAAAUAAAGAUUGCGACCUCGAU
Molecule: ribosomal RNA, 487 nt
Filed under: Pardosa hortensis
Lineage: Eukaryota; Metazoa; Arthropoda; Arachnida; Araneae; Lycosidae
Description: partial large subunit ribosomal RNA
Source: RNAcentral